RNAcentral lists this small RNA (300 nucleotides) under Arabidopsis thaliana (thale cress). Its description in RNAcentral is "ATSL215490". Lineage: Eukaryota; Viridiplantae; Streptophyta; Magnoliopsida; Brassicales; Brassicaceae. The record is from RNAcentral.
AUACAAAAUUUCAAAUAUAUCUAUUAAUCAUAAUUUUGAAUUCCAACUAAUAAAUUUACCGCCAAAAUUAUAUAUUCUUAAAAUCUAUACAGCCAAAAAGUUAUAGUCAAAAUUCUACAGCUACACCUUACACACUUACUGCCAAAAUUCUACAGUAAAAAAUCUACAACUACAGUCUAACCAAUCACCCACUCAAUUUGGUAAAAACUUUAAAAUAUAGUUGACUCUGCAAUAUUGGAAGAUAGUCUAACAAAUAUAACAAAAACAGUCAACGAUAUUCCUGCAAAAUAAAUAGUAAUU